Molecule: ribosomal RNA, 1406 nt
Filed under: metagenome
Description: bacterial SSU rRNA
Rfam family: Bacterial small subunit ribosomal RNA
Source: RNAcentral
GCUGACGAGUGGCGAACGGGUGAGUAAUAUAUCGGAACGUACCAUUCAGUGGGGGAUAACGUAGCGAAAGUUACGCUAACACCGCAUAUUCUGUGAGCAGGAAAGCAGGGGAUCGCAAGACCUCGCGCUAUUGGAGCGGCCGAUGUCAGAUUAGCUAGUUGGUGAGGUAAAAGCUCACCAAGGCGACGAUCUGUAGCGGGUCUGAGAGGAUGAUCCGCCACACUGGAACUGAGACACGGUCCAGACUCCUACGGGAGGCAGCAGUGGGGAAUUUUGGACAAUGGGGGCAACCCUGAUCCAGCCAUGCCGCGUGAGUGAGGAAGGCCUUCGGGUUGUAAAGCUCUUUCAGCCGGGAAGAAAACGCAUGGGUUAAUACCCUGUGUGGAUGACGGUACCGGAAUAAGAAGCACCGGCUAACUACGUGCCAGCGGCCGCGGUAAUACGUAGGGUGCGAGCGUUAAUCGGAAUUACUGGGCGUAAAGCGUGCGCAGGCGGUUUUGUAAGACAGGCGUGAAAUCCCCGGGCUUAACCUGGGAACUGCGUUUGUGACUGCAAGGCUAGAGUACGGCAGAGGGGGGUGGAAUUCCACGUGUAGCAGUGAAAUGCGUAGAGAUGUGGAGGAACACCAAUGGCGAAGGCAGCCCCCUGGGUCGAUACUGACGCUCAUGCACGAAAGCGUGUGUAGCAAACAGGAUUAGAUACCCUGUAGUCCACGCCCUAAACGAUGUCAACUAGGUGUUGGGAGGGUAAAACCUUUUAGUACCGGAGCUAACGCGUGAAGUUGACCGCCUGGGGAGUACGGCCGCAAGGUUAAAACUCAAAGGAAUUGACGGGGACCCGCACAAGCGGUGGAUGAUGUGGAUUAAUUCGAUGCAACGCGAAAAACCUUACCUACCCUUGACAUGCCAAGAACUUUCCAGAGAUGGAUUGGUGCCCGAAAGGGAACUUGGACGCAGGUGCUGCAUGGCUGUCGUCAGCUCGUGUCGUGAGAUGUUGGGUUAAGUCCCGCAACGAGCGCAACCCUUGUCGUUAAUUGCCAUCAUUUAGUUGGGCACUUUAACGAGACUGCCGGUGACAAACCGGAGGAAGGUGGGGAUGACGUCAAGUCCUCAUGGCCCUUAUGGGUAGGGCUUCACACGUCAUACAAUGGUCGGUACAAAGGGUCGCCAAGCCGCGAGGUGGAGCCAAUCCCAGAAAGCCGAUCGUAGUCCGGAUCGCAGUCUGCAACUCGACUGCGUGAAGUCGGAAUCGCUAGUAAUCGUGGAUCAGAAUGUCACGGUGAAUACGUUCCCGGGUCUUGUACACACCGCCCGUCACACCAUGGGAGCGGGUUCCGCCAGAAGUAGGUAGCCUAACCGCAAGGAGGGCGCUUACCACGGCGGGGUUCGUGACUGGGGUGAAGUCGG